This 372-nucleotide ribosomal RNA is filed under the name uncultured organism. Its description in RNAcentral is "bacterial SSU rRNA". It matches the Rfam family "Bacterial small subunit ribosomal RNA", at positions 526 to 896 of the family's 1533-position model. The record is from RNAcentral.
CAGAGGGGGCAAGCGUUGUUCGGAAUUACUGGGCGUAAAGGGCGCGUAGGCGGCCUGCUAAGUCGAACGUGAAAUCCCUGGGCUCAACCCAGGAACUGCGUCCGAUACUGGUUGGCUUGAAUCCGGGAGGGGGAUGUGGAAUUCCAGGUGUAGCGGUGAAAUGCGUAGAUAUCUGGAGGAACACCGGUGGCGAAGGCGACAUCCUGGACCGGUAUUGACGCUGAGGCGCGAAAGCCAGGGGAGCAAACGGGAUUAGAUACCCCGGUAGUCCUGGCCCUAAACGAUGAAUGCUUGGUGUGGUGGGUAUCGAUCCCUACCGUGCCGAAGCUAACGCAUUAAGCAUUCCGCCUGGGGAGUACGGUCGCAAGGCUG